ACUUGCUUUCUUUGCUGGCGACCGGCGCACGGGUGAGUAACACGUAUCCAACCUGCCCUUUACUCGGGGAUAGCCUUUCGAAAGAAAGAUUAAUACCCGAUAGUAUAAUGAUUCCGCAUGGUUUCAUUAUUAAAGGAUUCCGGUAAAGGAUGGGGAUGCGUUCCAUUAGGUUGUUGGUGAGGUAACGGCCCACCAAGCCUUCGAUGGAUAGGGGUUCUGAGAGGAAGGUCCCCCACAUUGGAACUGAGACACGGUCCAAACUCCUACGGGAGGCAGCAUG
This 280-nucleotide ribosomal RNA is filed under the name uncultured bacterium. Its description in RNAcentral is "partial 16S ribosomal RNA". It matches the Rfam family "Bacterial small subunit ribosomal RNA", at positions 74 to 353 of the family's 1533-position model. The record is from RNAcentral.